RNAcentral lists this transfer RNA (117 nucleotides) under Martinezella rhizogenes. Its description in RNAcentral is "Rhizobium rhizogenes tRNA-Thr". The record is from RNAcentral. Lineage: Bacteria; Pseudomonadati; Pseudomonadota; Alphaproteobacteria; Hyphomicrobiales; Rhizobiaceae.
GCCGUCGAAUGGGCAACUUACAUCGACAAAGUCACAAUUCUAAGCAUAUGAAAACACUUCAUAUCGCUCUGAUUUGUAAUCAGGGGGUCCCGGGUUCGAACCCUGGCGGGGGCACCA